GUGGGAGCGAACAGGAUUAGAUACCCUGGUAGUCCACGCGUAAACGAUGAGUGCUAAGUGUUGGAGGGUUCCGCCUUUCAGUGCUGCAGCUAACGCAUUAAGCACUCCGCUGGGGAGUACGACCGCAAGGUUGAAACUCAAAGGAAUUGACGGGGGCCCGCACAAGCGGUGGAGCAUGUGGUUUAAUUCGAAGCAACGCGAAGAACCUUACCAGGUCUUGACAUCCUUUGACCACUCUAGAGAUAGAGCUUUCCCUUCGGGGACAAAGUGACAGGUGGUGCAUGGUUGUCGUCAGCUCGUGUCGUGAGAUGUUGGGUUAAGUCCCGCAACGAGCGCAACCCUUAUUGUUAGUUGCCAUCAUUCAGUUGGGCACUCUAGCGAGACUGCCGGUGACAAACCGGAGGAAGGUGGGGAUGACGUCAAAUCAUCAUGCCCCUUAUGACCUGGGCUACACACGUGCUACAAUGGGAAGUACAACGAGUUGCUAGGCCGCGAGGUCAUGCAAAUCUCUUAAAGCUUCUCUCAGUUCGGAUUGCAGGCUGCAACUCGCCUGCAUGAAGCCGGAAUCGCUAGUAAUCGCGGAUCAGCACGCCGCGGUGAAUACGUUCCCGGGCCUUGUACACACCGCCCGUCACACCACGAAAGUUUGUAACACCCGAAGUCGGUGAGGUAACCUUUUGGAGCCAGCCGCCUAAGGUGGGAUAGAUGAUUGGGGUGAAGUCGUAACAAGGUAACCAAGGGCGAAUUCUG
This 750-nucleotide ribosomal RNA is filed under the name uncultured Enterococcus sp. Its description in RNAcentral is "bacterial SSU rRNA". It matches the Rfam family "Bacterial small subunit ribosomal RNA", at positions 761 to 1515 of the family's 1533-position model. The record is from RNAcentral. Lineage: Bacteria; Bacillati; Bacillota; Bacilli; Lactobacillales; Enterococcaceae.